AGUGAACGCUGGCGGUAGGCCUAACACAUGCAAGUCGAACGGCAGCACAGUAAGAGCUUGCUCUUACGGGUGGCGAGUGGCGGACGGGUGAGGAAUACAUCGGAAUCUACUUUUUCGUGGGGGAUAACGUAGGGAAACUUACGCUAAUACCGCAUACGACCUACGGGUGAAAGCAGGGGAUCUUCGGACCUUGCGCGAUUGAAUGAGCCGAUGUCGGAUUAGCUAGUUGGCGGGGGAAAGGCCCACCAAGGCGCCGAUCCGUAGCUGGUCUGAGAGGAUGGUCGGCCGCACUGGAACUGAGACACGGUCCAGACUACUACGGGAGGGAGCAGUGGGGAAUAUUGGACAAUGGGCGCAAGCCUGAUCCAGCCAUACCGCGUGGGUGAAGAAGGCCUUCGGGUUGUAAAGCCCUUUUGUUGGGAAAGAAAAGCAGCAGGUUAAUACCCCGCUGUUCUGACGGUACCCAAAGAAUAAGCACCGGCUAACUUCGUG
This 492-nucleotide ribosomal RNA is filed under the name uncultured bacterium. RNAcentral describes it as "partial 16S ribosomal RNA". It matches the Rfam family "Bacterial small subunit ribosomal RNA", at positions 29 to 507 of the family's 1533-position model. The record is from RNAcentral.